AUAUCUCUCUGUACGGGAAGGAUGAGAAGCUUCGACUAAGGUUCGAUUCGAGCGCAGCGAGAAAGCGUUGCCGUAGGCAACGACCCGAAGGGCGAAGCGCGCAGCGCUGAGUCAUCCUUCCCCCACCACCA
Molecule: small RNA, 131 nt
Filed under: Salmonella enterica subsp. enterica serovar Derby
Lineage: Bacteria; Pseudomonadati; Pseudomonadota; Gammaproteobacteria; Enterobacterales; Enterobacteriaceae
Also listed under: 5 other names
Description: RtT sRNA
Rfam family: RtT RNA
About the family: This family represents a bacterial cis-regulatory element known as RtT RNA. The exact function of RtT is unknown although it is thought that it may be involved in changing the cellular response in relation to amino acid starvation.
Source: RNAcentral